CCAGGGCCUAACCACUCUCCUAGUGAAGAAAAGUGAAGUCAGUUAAGUGACAUUAUGACCAGGAUUCCGAGAUGAUUUCUUUACACACACUUGCACGCUCUAUCAAUUUGUUUUCAUUGUGAGUUUUGAAUGAACACAUAUGAGGGAGGACUUUCUUCUCAAGAGAAGUGGAAAUUUGUUGGCUAUUUCUGUUGGCGAGUCACAGGACAAAGCAGAGUGCCUGGGUAUCAUGGUACUUUCACACCUUCUGUCUUCUGAACAUCUCAGUGAAUACUGUGGGAAAUCUAAUUGAGCAAAAGAACAUCUUGAAUGAAUUAUCCAAUGUAGCAUCCUCUCACUAACAGACAAGAUCUGCCCAAGCAUUUUGUCCAGCAGAAGCCUGUGAAGCUUCACUCACGUGAGUAAUUUUAUUGACUGG
Molecule: non-coding RNA, 418 nt
Organism: Coturnix japonica (Japanese quail)
Lineage: Eukaryota; Metazoa; Chordata; Aves; Galliformes; Phasianidae
Source: RefSeq, a predicted model, not a curated record